RNAcentral lists this long non-coding RNA (581 nucleotides) under Pogona vitticeps (central bearded dragon). RNAcentral describes it as "lncRNA (ENSPVIG00000005850.1)". Lineage: Eukaryota; Metazoa; Chordata; Lepidosauria; Squamata; Agamidae. The record is from RNAcentral.
ACUCCUAUGCUUUCCUAGGCUACUUCUGUAUUGACCUUAAUUGCUCUGUAAGUUGCCUUAAUUUAUUAUUUCUUCUUUUGUUAGAAAACCAAGAGAGAAGCCUGUGGCUCCAGGAAGACUGACAUUUUGAAGACUUCCUCCCACCACGGACUAUUUUGUUAGCUGCUUUAUGCCAAAGAAGAUUCCAUACUCAUUGGAGAGAAAUGAGACAACGUGAAGGCACAUUGAAGAAUCAGGAGGAAGCAGGGGGGAAGAGGAGGACUCUGAAGGAGGCAAUAAGAUGAAGUUGUUGAUGAACAAUAUUCCUCUUCUUGUACUUGAGGAAGAAAAAACACAGGGAAAGCCAAGAGCGAUCAUGGGACUACUCUGUUUAGGCAGGUGGCAUUUCCGUAAAUAAAAGAGAAACCAUUUCCAGGCAGGCACCCAUCAGAAAAUUAAAGAACCAGCAACGGGCAGCCAGGUAGGAUGAGCUUCAGAGAUGAUUGGAAGAUGGAGUCAUAAAUUGCAAGCUGAUGUUGACCGAGUUGUUAUAUUAAUGUGAAAAAAAAUUAAUCAUUACACUAUAACUAGAUGACAUUAAU